UCCGGUUUGGCACCGGCAGUCUCCCUAGAGUUCCCGCCAUUACGCGCUGGCAACUAACGAUAAGGGUUGCGCUCGUUGCUGGACUUAACCAAACACCUCACGGCACGAGCUGACGACAGCCAUGCAGCACCUAUAUAGAGACCCUUUCGAGAAACAUCAUCUCUGAUGUCGUCCUCUACAUUUCGAGCCCAGGUAAGGUUCUUCGCGUUGCAUCGAAGUAAACCACAUGCUCCACUGCUUGUGCGGGCCCCCGUCAAUUCUUUUGAGUUUCACCCUUGCGAGCGUACUCCCCAGGCGGUAUACUUAAUGCGUUAGCUCCGACACAGAAAGGGUUGAGCCCUCCUACGUCUAGUAUACAUCGUUUAAGGCAAGGACUAC
This 378-nucleotide unclassified non-coding RNA is filed under the name uncultured Chlamydiales bacterium. RNAcentral's name for it is "contains 16S-23S intergenic spacer region". The record is from RNAcentral. Lineage: Bacteria; Pseudomonadati; Chlamydiota; Chlamydiia; Chlamydiales.